This 276-nucleotide ribosomal RNA is filed under the name uncultured prokaryote. RNAcentral describes it as "partial 16S ribosomal RNA". It matches the Rfam family "Bacterial small subunit ribosomal RNA", at positions 524 to 801 of the family's 1533-position model. The record is from RNAcentral.
UACGUAGGGGCUAGCGUUAUCCGGAAUUACUGGGCGUAAAGGGUGCGUAGGUGGUUUCUUAAGUCAGAGGUGAAAGGCUACGGCUCAACCGUAGUAAGCCUUUGAAACUGGGAAACUUGAGUGCAGGAGAGGAGAGUGGAAUUCCUAGUGUAGCGGUGAAAUGCGUAGAUAUUAGGAGGAACACCAGUGGCGAAGGCGAUUCUCUGGACUGUAACUGACGCUGAGGCUCGAAAGCGUGGGGAGCAAACAGGAUUAGAUACCCCGGUAGUCCCUGAG